GGCGAGUGAAGCGGCAACAGCUCAAAUUUGAAAUCUGGCUCUUUCAGAGUCCGAGUUGUAAUUUGCAGAGGGCGCUUUGGCUUUGGCAGCGGUCCAAGUUCCUUGGAACAGGACGUCACAGAGGGUGAGAAUCCCGUACGUGGUCGCUAGCUAUUGCCGUGUAAAGCCCCUUCGACGAGUCGAGUUGUUUGGGAAUGCAGCUCUAAAUGGGAGGUAAAUUUCUUCUAAAGCUAAAUAUUGGCCAGAGACCGAUAGCGCACAAGUAGAGUGAUCGAAAGAUGAAAAGCACUUUGGAAAGAGAGUCAAACAGCACGUGAAAUUGUUGAAAGGGAAGCGCUUGCAGCCAGACUUGCUUGCAGUUGCUCAUCCGGGCUUUUGCCCGGUGCACUCUUCUGUAGGCAGGCCAGCAUCAGUUUGGGCGGUGGGAUAAAGGUCUCUGUCACGUACCUCUCUUCGGGGAGGCCUUAUAGGGGAGACGACAUACCACCAGCCUAGACUGAGGUCCGCGCAUCUGCUAGGAUGCUGGCGUAAUGGCUGUAAGCGGCCCGUCUUGAAACACGGACCAAGGAGUCUAACAUCUAUGCGAGUGUUUGGGUGUCAAGCCCGAGCGCGUAAUGAAAGUGAACGGAGGUGGGAACCCGCAAGGGUGCACCAUCGACCGAUCCUGAAGUUUACGGAAGGAUUUGAGUAAGAGCAUGGCUGUUGGGACCCGAAAGAUGGUGAACUAUGCUUGAAUAGGGUGAAGCCAGAGGAAACUCUGGUGGAGGCUCGCAGCGGUUCUGACGUGCAAAUCGAUCGUCAAAUUUGG
RNAcentral lists this ribosomal RNA (808 nucleotides) under Bipolaris cynodontis. Its description in RNAcentral is "eukaryotic LSU rRNA". It matches the Rfam family "Eukaryotic large subunit ribosomal RNA", at positions 88 to 914 of the family's 3401-position model. Lineage: Eukaryota; Fungi; Ascomycota; Dothideomycetes; Pleosporales; Pleosporaceae. The record is from RNAcentral.